CUCUUCCUGAAACAAUCUUCUUCUUCUCCACUCUUUCUCUCUCUCAAAUCUUAAAAUAAAAAUCUAAGAAAAUAAGAAAAAGGGCUUUUGAGUUGCUGCUGCCUACCACUGCUUGCUGCUGCCUGUUCUCUCCUUACUUCCCUGUAGUUUGCUAUUUUUAUAGUCAAAAACUAGGUUGAAAUCGGAUAGAAAUCAGAUUUCUAUUUGUGUUCAAAGUCCUCAACCCAUGCCAGCCAUCAGAUCGAGAUCAAAUGGCUAAAAUCCAGCCUCAAAAUAACUCAGAUCAAGUCGGCAGCCUUUCCAACCGUUGGAUCGAUCUUCAGAUUAAAUUACAACCAUUGGAUCGUGCACAGGAUCAUCCCAAACUCCUUUCAGCCAAGAACUACUAUGGACCGUCCGAUCAAGCCCCUGAUGGAUGUCAGUUGUCCGAGAGUGCACAAG
This 441-nucleotide long non-coding RNA is filed under the name Elaeis guineensis (African oil palm). Its description in RNAcentral is "long non-coding RNA (EGUI_LNC063144)". Lineage: Eukaryota; Viridiplantae; Streptophyta; Magnoliopsida; Arecales; Arecaceae. The record is from RNAcentral.